UGCCAGCCGCCGCGGUAACACGUAGGAUCCAAACGUUAUCCGGAUUUACUGGGCGUAAAGCGCGUGCAGGCGGUUUGGUAAGUUGGGUGUCAAAGCUCCGGGCUCAACCCGGAGAGGUCGCUCAAAACUCCCAAACUAGAGGACGGUAGAGGAAGGUGGAAUUCCAGGUGUAGUAGUGAAAUCCGUAGAUAUUCGGAGAAACACCAGUGGCGAAGGCAUCUCUCUGGGCCGAUAUUGACGCUGAGGCGCGAAGGCGUGGGUAGCGAACGGGAUUAGAUA
RNAcentral lists this ribosomal RNA (279 nucleotides) under uncultured bacterium. Its description in RNAcentral is "partial 16S ribosomal RNA". It matches the Rfam family "Bacterial small subunit ribosomal RNA", at positions 506 to 784 of the family's 1533-position model. The record is from RNAcentral.